RNAcentral lists this ribosomal RNA (253 nucleotides) under uncultured bacterium. RNAcentral's name for it is "partial 16S ribosomal RNA". It matches the Rfam family "Bacterial small subunit ribosomal RNA", at positions 524 to 776 of the family's 1533-position model. The record is from RNAcentral.
UACGGAGGGAGCUAGCGUUGUUCGGAAUUACUGGGCGUAAAGCGCACGUAGGCGGCUUUUUAAGUCAGAGGUGAAAUCCCGGGGCUCAACCCCGGAACUGCCUUUGAAACUGGAGAGCUAGAAUCUUGGAGAGGCGAGUGGAAUUCCGAGUGUAGAGGUGAAAUUCGUAGAUAUUCGGAAGAACACCAGUGGCGAAGGCGACUCGCUGGACAAGUAUUGACGAUGAGGUGCGAAAGAGUGGGGAGCAAACAGG